RNAcentral lists this small RNA (85 nucleotides) under Streptococcus agalactiae. RNAcentral's name for it is "RNA anti-toxin A". It matches the Rfam family "RNA anti-toxin A". Lineage: Bacteria; Bacillati; Bacillota; Bacilli; Lactobacillales; Streptococcaceae. The record is from RNAcentral.
UAAUUGUAAAUAAAAAGCAGUUGCUUCUAACAACUGCUUAGCAGAACCGUUUAAGACGGUGGCAGAAAAUAACCGUUAAAAAAUA